RNAcentral lists this ribosomal RNA (253 nucleotides) under uncultured bacterium. Its description in RNAcentral is "partial 16S ribosomal RNA". It matches the Rfam family "Bacterial small subunit ribosomal RNA", at positions 524 to 776 of the family's 1533-position model. The record is from RNAcentral.
UACGGGGGGGGCAAGCGUUGUUCGGAAUUACUGGGCGUAAAGGGCUCGUAGGCGGCCAACUAAGUCCGACGUGAAAUCCCCAGGCUUAACCUGGGAACUGCGUCGGAUACUGGAUGGCUUGAAUCCGGGAGAGGGAUGCGGAAUUCCAGGUGUAGCGGUGAAAUGCGUAGAUAUCUGGAGGAACACCGGUGGCGAAGGCGGCAUCCUGGACCGGCAUUGACGCUGAGGCGCGAAAGCUAGGGGAGCAAACGGG